RNAcentral lists this transfer RNA (70 nucleotides) under Dipodomys ordii (Ord's kangaroo rat). It matches the Rfam family "tRNA". Rfam says of the family: Transfer RNA (tRNA) molecules are approximately 80 nucleotides in length. Their secondary structure includes four short double-helical elements and three loops (D, anti-codon, and T loops). Further hydrogen bonds mediate the characteristic L-shaped molecular structure. tRNAs have two regions of fundamental functional importance: the anti-codon, which is responsible for specific mRNA codon recognition, and the 3' end, to which the tRNAs corresponding amino acid is attached (by aminoacyl-tRNA synthetases). tRNAs cope with the degeneracy of the genetic code in two manners: having more than one tRNA (with a specific anti-codon) for a particular amino acid; and 'wobble' base-pairing, i.e. permitting non-standard base-pairing at the 3rd anti-codon position. Lineage: Eukaryota; Metazoa; Chordata; Mammalia; Rodentia; Heteromyidae. The record is from Rfam by way of RNAcentral.
GGGAAUGUGACUCAGUGGUAGAGUGUUUGCCUUGCAUGCAUGAGGCCCUGGGUUCAAUUCCUCAGUACCA